Molecule: long non-coding RNA, 9613 nt
Organism: Heterocephalus glaber (naked mole-rat)
Lineage: Eukaryota; Metazoa; Chordata; Mammalia; Rodentia; Bathyergidae
Source: Ensembl
GAGCAAAUUGGCCUGGCUCAUCUUUUUAUCAGGAACCCAUGCCCACUGAAACCAACAUGCCUGUCAGGUAGACAAGGUCACUGGGACUCCAUGAGAUUGUUUUCAGUCCCAGGCAGCAAGAGGCACUUGGAUCUGAAGUCAGAGGAUCAUGAUUUACCCAGUGUUCUUCUACCCGGGCCAGGCUGGAGUCCUUGCCCACUAAGUGGCACCAUCAUACAGGUGGAAGUAGAAAUGAUGAACUCUGGAGAAGUAUCCAAGCACUGAAUGUUAGAGGACAUGUAGAUGAAACGAUGCAAGAAGGGGAGGCUGUGAACUGCAUCCUGGAACAGAUCUCUCUCACUCUUUGUCUAUCCAACCACCUAUCCAUCCAUCCAUCCGUUCAUCCAUCCACCCACCAAUCCACCUAUCCUUCCAUCUAUGUAAGUGGGAUUUUGGGGAAAUUGUCAUAAUUUGAAUACAUCCUGUAGAUUAAAAAAUAGUAUUGUAUAAUCCUUCAUUUCCUAGUUUCAAUAAUUAUACUCUGUUUUUUUUCUAAAUUGGUUUUAUCGGUACAUUUUAGAUAUACAUAAUAAUAACAUUCAUCAUAGGAAUUUGUACCCAUAUAUAAUGUACCUUGAUUCUUCUUUUUCCCCAGUCCCCUCCCCUCCCCUUCAACCCCUCUUAUUCCCCUCCUUAUUUACAAAAGCUUUGUUUCCAUUUUUUCAAAGAUGGCUCCUUUGUCAAAGAUAAGGUGGCUGAGUGUGUCUGGAGUUGUUUCUGCACCUCUAAUCUGUUUCUUUGAUCCUUGGGUCUGUUUUUUUGCCAGACCAUGCUGGGUUUUUUGUAAAUCAUGGUAGCUUUAUAGUAUAAUUUCAAGUCAGGGACUGUGAUGCUCCCUAUCUUGCCUUUGUUGCCCAGAGUUGCUUUUGUUAUCCUAGGUCUCUUCUGGUUCCAAAUGAGUUUUAGUACUGUUUUCUCUAAUUCUGUGUAUACUCUGAUUUUAUAAUAGAAUAUUCUUGUUCUUAGGAAAUCCUGGGAAAUAUGGGUGAAAAAUAUUUUGGAAUUUUUUAUUCUCAAACUUCCUGUGCAUUUCAGGUUAUUUCAAAUUAUAAGUGUUACUAGAAUUAUGUAUAUAAUUUUAAAACAAAUUGAGAGGUAUGUGCCUUAAAAAAAAAUAGCCAUUCUGUGAAAUCAGAUUGAAAUGAAUGCACACUGAAAACUGGCCAAGGUCCCAGGGAAUGUUUGUGUCAGGGCUGGCCCAGCUCCAGGAACAAAAGGCACAGAGGGCUUUGGGUUUCGCGUCAUUUCCAGUAACAUGAAGGCCACACACCUUCAGUGUGGCAAUAAUAUAAAAACCCUCAGGUGCUCCAGUCAGCACAGGUCCUGGUGUUGUGGGCUAUCAGGAUCUGGCGCCUGUCCAGUGUCACCGUGAUUUCCUGGAUGGCUCUCAGGAGUUUCCCGCUUUCUCUAGCACUCUGGGAAGGGGUAAGAAUAAAGAAGACAACGUCCAAGGCCUACCUUAAAAAGGAGUCUAGCAGUAUGACCUGCCCUCACAAACGCUCUGAAGAAAAGCUUUUGUCCUUAACCUGAUCUGUCAAGAACCAAUCAUCCCUUGGACCGCUACUUCUCCACCUGUGCUGCUCCAAGCAAAUCUGCAGUCCUAGCCUAGCUCUUCCACUCAGGGAACUUAUUUUUCCAUUUUGACUUUGACUUUUCACUCCUGGCCCUAUUCACUCUUCUCUCUCCAGAAUUGGAAAGCUAGAGUCUUCUCCAACUCAUUUCUUACAAUUGAGAUGCUUCCCAGGCUUCAGUUAGAAGGUCCUACAGAUUUUAACAGCUGGUCAGAAGACGGUCUGAACUGAAGCUCACCUGGAGGAGUAGAACGACCAGCAAUGUGUGGGCCAGAGGCAGCAGACAUCUCCGUUUUCUGAUGCAGCUCUGCAGUAGGACACCCUUUCCAGAACUGCAGGCAUGAAUGGUGUCCCUGGCCAUGCAGGAAGCUGGUGUGUUCCUUCCUCAGCCUUGUUCCAGCCUUGGCUAGCAGAUGCAGGCUGCCCCUGAAAAGUAUGACCUCAGCCAAACCACUGUCUGCUCCUGAGACAGCCAGAUUCUUUCUGGAAGGGAGAUCUGAGGAGUGGCCUCCAGGUCUGCCACAGGGAGGUAAGAAAUACCAAAGGCUGCACAAGAGAAGGGACACUUUGCUUGUGAGUGUGUAAUAAAGGAUGCCCAUUCAAGGAGGCACUGAUUAGAUGGUGUAUGAUUGGAUCAUGUCCACUGAUCUGAAUCAUGUCUCAUCCUUUGUUUUUUUACACAGGCACAAAAACUUAACAUGGCAUACUGUUUGGAUUGCAUUGGAGUGUGUCUGUUCCUUUGAUCGGAUCAUGUCUGUUUGAUCGUGCAUUGAUUGGAUCAUGUGUGUUCCUUUAUUUUCACACACAGGCACAAAAACUUUUAACACGGCAUAGCUAAAGGCCAAGCAGACACACAUAGGUGCUGUAGUGUGUGAUUCCCAGAGUUCAUGUGUGGCAACAAGGUCUGCAGAGAAAUGGGACCUCCAAGGUAUGCAAGGAGUGGCUAGGUCAUGAGUGCUGUGCUCUCAGGAGGGGUUAACACCAGAAUUGGGACGAGGUUCACAGUCGCCAGCAUGUAAGCUCAGCACCUCUCUCUUCCUCUGGUCCAUGCAGGGCCUUCCACCAUGUUAUGAUGCAGCAGGUCCCCUUCACCAGCUAUACCCUUGAUCCUGGAUUUUCUGUUCUCCGCAUCUGUGAGAUCUAAGCUUCUGGUCUUUAUACAAUUGCCAGUCUCACAGUUCUGGUAGAGUAACUCAAGACUAAGUAGGGGCACUGGUAAAGGGGAAAUGUAGUACAUGUGUGACUUUUUAUUUCUACUCUGGGUUUACUGAGAAGAUUAUCAGUUCUUAUCAUUUUCUUUCAAAUUUUUACGGUUUUCUGUUAUUCUGUGUUAUUAUAAAAAGUCUCCAAUCUAGAAUCUGCUAAUAACAUGAAAUUUGAAAUUUUAUUAAAUGGCAAAUAUAUUUAUUUACUUGUUAAUAUGAUACUAUAAUUUUAUACAGAAUAUCUAUGUUUUUUCUUCACAUUUCAGCCAGAAUAUUUUGAGGCUUCUUCAGAUAUCACUUGUUCUGUGUGAAUUUUAACAAUUCACUUGCUCUUCCUAACCCUGAAUUGCCUCAUCUGUAGAGUGGAGUUAUGAGGGUGUGGAGUUGAGGUAGUGUUAGACGGUACAAUGUGUGUAUGUAAUGGACUUGAUGGAUUUUUGCGGUGGCUGACAUGUAGAAACAAAUCAACAUCUGCAACUCACUGCAUUGUGAUAAAGUAAACCUUCCUUUCUUUAGUGAAAAUCAGCCAUCACCUUAAGAUAUCCUUCUGCAAAACGUCUCUCUGGAAGAGUAACAUGACCCAGAUAGGGACACAAACCUCUAACUCUACCAUACGGCCUCAACACUUUUCUCAGUUUGUCACAAGAUGGCCCCAAAUCCACAUUCUGCACAGCCCUAUAUUCACAGAAAUGGAAUUCACACAGUGAGAAGGUUGUACAGGACAAAAAUGGUAUGUGCAGGCAGCCCACUUAAUAACCAGUUGUUCAAUUGGCUAGAAGAAGAGAAAAAAGCAAGCUUUGUUUGUUUCAAUGGGCCAGAAAGCUCUUUAAUGCAUGUAAACAUUUUCUUCAAGGCUAGUCUCCAUAAGAGCAGUAAAUAAAUCAUCCCAUUGACACGUUACAGUUUUAUUGGUACAUGGCAGGGUUGACUGAGAAAAAACAGCAAUCUUUACCUUUUCUCUCUUUUAUAGUAACAAUUAUUUCAUUUUUUGUUAUUUGAAAAGUAUACAAAACUGCUUCAAAACCUCGUUCUCUUUAUCCUCUUAAAAUUGAAAUAUAAGGAAAAACUAUACAUGAUAAAUCAUGUAAGAUCCUGUCAGAUCAGGAAAACCUUAGAUUAAAAGUCUUAUGGGAUCAUGACUAAUUCAUUAUUUCUUCUUCUUCAUCUUACCUCAGAAUCCCUAAAGUCUUAAAAUGGAGCUUCAAGAAAUUUUUUUCCAGGCAGUGAAAAAUUCCUUCCUUUCUACUUUCUUUCUGCAAUGCUAGAAGAAAUGCCUGGCAAUUGAUUGCAACUGAUGCGCAAUAAUACGUGAAUCAAUGGUAAAAUAAUUAACAUAGAACAUUAGUGUUCUAGUUCAACUUAAUGGUGGUGUGGCUUGGACAAGUCAUUUCAAGACAAUCCUUAGUGUGUGUGUGUGUGUGUGAGUGUGUGUGUAUGUGUGUGUGUGGUAAACGAGAUAGUCUCCACAGUGUACCAGACACAUGGCAGGCCCUUAAUGCUUCAUUUCAUUAUCACUGUUAUUUUACUCAUGAUGCAAUGGAAUAAUGGAAAGAGUUAAUUUAAUCUUCAGUAGAAAUAUCCAAACAUAACUGCCGUUUCUCAAUUUACUCUGAACUGCAGCCUCAAUGCUCACUCCACAUGGUGCCAUAUCUUCUAAGUUAGCCUGUUGUUUGUGUGAAGGUGGGGUGGGAUCAAAACAUCAAUGUUUUCCCAGGCAUGGUGGCACAUGCCUAUGAUCCCAGCACUCGGGAGGCUGAGGUAGGAGGAUUGACAAGAGUUUGAGGCCAGCCUGGGCUACAUAGUGAGUUCAGGACCAGUCUGAAUUACAAAGGAAGACCCUGCCUCAAAAAACCAAGAAAAAAAAAAUCAAUGUUUUGACAGUCACCGAUUUUCCCAUGUAUUAGAUUUUCUGCUCAGGAUUCAGCAGCUGGUGUUGUGGUUUUAAUUUUGUAAUUAUUCAUGAUUUCAUAACAAUCACUGACUCUGUGCCAACUCAGAAAAACUCAAUUCAGCAUUAUAUUGUAAAAGUAGUUAUCUUAAAACUGGUCAAAAUUUGAGAUUGAACAGCAAUAAGAAGAAAUAUGCUUUCCUAUUUUUACUACCUUAUUGUCAAUGGGUAUGGUAAAAAAAUGUAAUAAAUUUAAAAAUUUUUCGCUGUUUAUCUGAGAACCAGCAGAUUGUAGAAAUCUCUUCAUCUUUUAUUCUGGUUACCCUUGUCUACACCUGCCGUGUGCAGGAGACUGGCGUAUUUCAAUAUUUUCCAUCUGAAUUGUGAAUGAGUUGAUCAGAUGUCUCCGCCCUCCUUUCCUAAUCAAAUAUAUUGAUUUCCUACCAAGUUCUAGAAACUAUACUCAAGUGUGAACUUUCAAAUACAAAAGGAUAUAACCCAGGAGGUCAGGAGACCACACAGUAGUAAGAGGACAUGCAUGGAUGUGUUCGUUGACCAAUGAAAAUUCACAGAACAGUGUCCUCUCUGGAAGCACAGCUGCUGCUGUGAGCUCAAGGAGCAGUGGAGAGCCCAGGUUAGCUGGAUCAAGAGAGAGCAAGGCUCAAAACACUGGCUCAAAAGCUGCCAGAGAGGUACUGAGAAGCCAGCAUUAAGGGCCUUGUGAUCAAUGCCUGAGGACUUGGGCAUCAACUCUGAGCACCAGGAAGCUAAUGGUGGAUCAUGAGCAGAGUCCUGGUCCAACUCCUAUUUGGAGGGGACUGCACUGGUGAGUGUGUCAAGGGUGGACUUUGCAGUGGGGGAACAUGCAGACCCAGCACAGCACAGAUCUGAUGGUCAUGAAAGGCACCAUUUGAGCAGUUGCACUGUACAGACAGAGCCAAGAAGGCUCCCUGUAGGCUUUCAGUGAUGUGGAUGAGACAGAGGAUGCAUCCACAGCAGUACUGUGGUGUCCACGCACAGCAUACACUGAGGUGGCAGUGCUUGGCUUGGGCCCAGACAUACUGAGAAGCAAAACUCAUGAGAAUUGGUAAUUAAGCAUUUAACUUCAAAUGUAAGUAUUUAUCAGCUUAGGAAAUUCCUUGUGAAGUACUUUACCUUUAUAUCAAGAGCCUCAGAAUUCAUCUCCUCCUAUCGGUAACACCGAAUAACAGCUGCCUCAUUUCUAUUGUUCCAAAUCAUCAAUUUCUUGGUGUAUUUCAUAACAAGUAUAAAAGAUGAAUAUGGGUAAAGAAAUCCUAAUAUACUAAAAAUAAAAUCAGCAAAGACUGAGAGGGAGAAAUAAGUUCAAACACUCCUGUGUGUGUAGUAAUGUACAGACCUUUUCUUUUCUUGCUCUCUUUUAUUGAACCCUUCUCUCUUUGUCUAGUCAGGGAUCCAUCUUGGCUAGGAAAACUUCAGUGAAUCAAUAGAGAGGAGUUUUGUCAUCUUUACACUACCUGGACAUAUUAGCAACUUUAUGCUAACUUGUACAUAUUAUCUUUAUAUGAACCUGGACACACUAGCUCUACAUAAACCUGCACACACUGCCUUUGUAUGAACCCGGAUGUCCUAUUUUUACACUGGCCCAGACAUACUAUUGUUAUAUUAACCAGGAUAUACCAUCUUUCUAUGAACCAGGACAUUCUGUCUCUGUAUUAACCUGGACGUGCUAUUUUUACACUGACCUGGAUGUAUCAUCUUUAUAGUAACCUGAACUUAUUGUUGGAAGAUUUCCCCAGGAAACAUUGCAAAGUCAUCAAGUGUCACACAAUUUUUCUUUCUGUCACCUUCCACUUCAUUGCAAAGCUUCUAUGCUUUGUUCUCAUCUCUGCAUGUCUGGGAUCUAGAGCUUUGUGUUUCUUUCUCUGAAGAGCUGGUCCCCGAAGUCUCUUCCUCACCCUUCUAGUAAAAAUUAUUUCUUCUCCUCCCAGCACUGCUGGCAAAAUAAGUCACUGAUCUGGUUCUAGUAUUUGAUUCUAAGAUACAAAUGAAUGAGCCCAAGCUUAUCAAAGGCUUGUAAAGAGAUUUUGCAGAAGUAAAUGCAUCUGUAAUAGGAGAAUAGAUGGGGUUGUAUUCAUAUUGGAGGCCACCUCUUAACAACAGCCUAAUAACACACAUCCAAACCCACAACACACACACACACACACACACAAACACACAUGGGCACACACAUCCAUGUGCAUAUUUUCCCAUGUUAUAAAGAAAAAAACGGCAAGAAAUGAGCUUUGAAGCCACUUGCAACCUUUUCUCUCAUAGCUCUUCUUUUUUUUUCCAAACUGCAGUUUUAUACAUAGCUUUAGUGCAAGAGAAGUUAUGCUUCUGAACACUACAUGCCAUUCUGUCUCCUGGGAGUGUCCUGUGGAUUCAUACAUUAUUUUAUGGGAAGGAAAAUUAGAAAGCAAACACAAUAUUUACUUGACCAGGAUGAGGUUCAGAAAGAGAUGUACAGAGCUAAUAUGCCAUUCAGUAUUUUGAGAAAUGAUUAGAAAUAGCUUAAUCUUCAUCUACCAGAAUUCACUAUUAAAUAAAAAAACAAAAGAUAACUCUCUUUUCCUUUGUAGUUAAGCAGAUUUCCAACCACAUCAAAAUACAACAACUGCUAGGUUACUUUUGUAGUGGACUAAUGAGCAACAUGUAACGCCCAGCUGAACUAAAUCAGAGUGGUCUGGGCAUGGAGGAUCCACCUGAGGAUUGUUGUCAGUAGCCAUAAAAAGAAAACUGGAGGGGAAGAUCGUGGCCUGUUGAUUUUUCUAGGAGAAGCUUGCUGUGGAUGGUUUUCCUGAUGCGAACUAGGCUGUUCUCGUCAGAGGAGGAACUCAGGUUCUCGCUGUCGCUGGGAAUGGCUGCUGUUUUCAUCAGAGCAGCUCUGAUCUUCACCGUGAGCAUCACUUCCUGGCCCCAGUGUGGAUCCCUCAGCCUGGUGGCACAAAUCCUUCAUCUCACCAGCAUAGGUUUUCUGGCUCCCACCACUGGCCUUUGGGCCUUCCGGGUGCAGAUUCUCAAUAUGGACAAGCAUGAGACAUUGCCAUGGGCUCUAGGCCACUAGCUGGACUCAUGGAGGACAUUGCCUUGGACUCUAAGCCUUUAGCUGGACUUAUGUGGGAAAUUGCUGGAUCCAGGCCGUUGGCUUGAUUCUUUUGGCCUCUAGUGUGUGGUUAAUGUCUUGCAUUCCUUUGCAUUUCACUUUUUGGGUAAUUACCAUCAAAUAAUCCUAUAAACUAUGUGUCCUGUAGUAAAUGUAUUAUCUUACCAAAACUCUGACUACAAUGACUUUAGAUUUUAAAUGUAAGGAAGUGUCACAGAAUCAGGCCCAUUCCUGAUUAUCCAAAGGCUCUAAAUGCUAUUUGUUCUGAGAAACAGAGGAGUGCUUGGCUGCUCUGUUAGGGAUUGAGACAGUGCCUGGGGAGGCGAGUAGUUUUCUCGACACAAUAGGCAGAAACAAGAAAGGAAUCAAGGGCCCUGACUCACUGUCUGGUGUUUACCAAAGGCAGACCACAUUACGAUGUUCAAAUUCAUGGCCAAAUACCUUCAAAUACAGCUAACCGCAGGGACUGAGAGGGAAUCAGGCCUCUUGGAGAAAAGCUGUAGGAACUCGAGCUGCUCCUGGAAUUGUUAAGUAUAUCCCAGAAUUAUGGUGGCAUGCUCAUUUUAUGUACUGUAUGAUAAAGCCAACCAAAGCCAGGCGCAGAGUCCUGGGGAUGGGACUCUCACCCUCUUCAGGCUGAACUCAAAGCAAUGUUUGGGGGAGCUAACAUGCUGCCCCAAAGAAAAGACAACAUUGAACCAAAGAAAUGCAAACCAAAACAUUUUAAAGUGAACAAUCAAAAGGUGGAAAACAAAUACUUUGGUCAUCUAUAGAACACUCAGGGGGAAUAAAAAAAGAAAUAGGGAGAUGAUUUGCUUUUUUAAAGAAUUUCCAUAAUAUCCGCUCUCCAAAAAUCAGAACCAAAGACAAGGACUUAGGUCCUUGCAGUUGAUGGAUGAGAAGAUCUGGGACACACAUGAGGGAUGGGAAGUGACACAGAGAGGAGUGGAAGCAAUGUGAGAGCCUCUUACUGAGCUGCCACUGUGGGGACCUGAGCCGCUGCCUCCCUGGGGCUGCUGGCAGCAUCCUCAGGUGUUCUGCCUUGAGGCUUGGAAUCUGGAACCUGGAAUCCUCAGCUCCAGCUUUCCUGUGGUUAGGAACUGCUCCGGCGCAUUAACUCCCACCCCUUCUUGUGUCUUUUAUUGCACAGCUGUCAAGCUGGCUUCUACUGGCUUCUGCUGCCUAGAGGGGCUUUGAGGCAAAAUGCCAGACACCUGCUAGUGUGGGCAGCUACCAGGGCAAAGGCGGAUCUGAAUUUGCAGGAGCUCUUCUCUUGUGACUGAAAGUUGAGCUGUUUUGUACAGAAGACAACUUUGCAACCUUCAGUGAAUGGAGAAAAAGUAUUUGAAGGGAUCAAACUCAGGACCUCGAGCUUGCCAGGGAGGUGCUAUGCUGCUGAGCUACAGCCCAAGCCCUCUUAAUGACAGUAUCUUGCAACCCAUACUAUCUUAGAUUCAACAAAUAGCAAAGAAAUAACAAGACUAGGAUUUGUCACCUGGAGUGCAUGAUUCCAAACUUCGGACUAUUUUCUGGCCAACAAUAAUUUUUACCUGAAAGAUUCAAGCAAUUAAGGUAAUGCACAUUGCAUAUGCUAUGGAAAUUAUUUUCUUCUUUCCCCAUGCCAUUUCAUGUAUUGGCAUGCAGUUUGAGAUUUUGUGUUUGGCUUGACCAUAUCUAUAUAGAAUUGUGCUUCUUAGGACCCAAAUUCCUUGCUUCCCUGUAAACUCAAGCUGUUUAAUGAGUUCUGUUGAAGUGGGCUGAUGAAACAUGUUUAUUAUCACAAGUG